UACGGGAGGCAGCAGUGGGGAAUAUUGCACAAUGGAGGGAACUCUGAUGCAGCGACGCCGCGUGAGUGAAGAAGUAUUUCGGUAUGUAAAGCUCUAUCAGCAGGGAAGAAGAUGACGGUACCUGAAUAAGAAGCCCCGGCUAACUACGUGCCAGCAGCCGCGGUAAU
Molecule: ribosomal RNA, 167 nt
Filed under: uncultured bacterium
Lineage: Bacteria
Description: partial 16S ribosomal RNA
Rfam family: Bacterial small subunit ribosomal RNA
Source: RNAcentral